Molecule: long non-coding RNA, 2900 nt
Filed under: Homo sapiens (human)
Lineage: Eukaryota; Metazoa; Chordata; Mammalia; Primates; Hominidae
Description: HSALNT0067609
Source: RNAcentral
CCGGAAUGGACGGACUCACGGGCUGUCACAUCGCGCACAUCUUCCCCGGAGAAGGGAUGUGAAUCUUGGUGGGGUGGGGGGCACUACCUGGCCCAGCACAGGGUGCAGGUGGGUGACCCGGGAGACUCUCCCCGCUCCAGACCUGUCAUCAUGUUGCCAUCUGAGGCGGCACUCACAGGUUUGCGGGGCUGCACAUCUUUGGGGGCCUCCACUCAGCCUGGCACAGUGUGUGCCCAGCAAGUAGACGACCGCAUCCUCGCCAGCACACAUGUGCUAGAAACUUCUGUCAGGAAACGCCGCUCUUCACAGCCAAGGGUGGAAACUACUGGAUGCAUUGCAGAGCUGACGCCCUCCCUCCGGCCUGGCUCCGAGCCAUGCCUGGUGUGGUGGAGGGGUGGAGGCCACCCUCACCGGGCCCUGUGUGCUGCUCUGAUGCCGCUGAGGGGGCCGGGGCCUGGGUGUGCCCUCAGCGCGUCCACUGCAGAGGGGAGCCUGCGCCCACGUUUUGGCUCUGUGGGUAAAGGUGGCCACCCCCUGAGCUUGUAGGGGUGUGGGACACUUCCCGAUGCUGCCUGCCAUGAUUUUACAUGAAAAGCCGGGAAAAGGCACUGAGGAGCCACCUGACCCCACGGAAUGCCAUUUCCUGGUGUCGCUUGGCCAGAAGUCAUUGACACAGCCCUGCCAGCCGGAAGCUGGGGCAGGGACGGGGUCCUGCCUUCUGGGACAGGUUCUGUGUGUGCGCGACCAUGUCCCAGAGGUCUCUGCUCAGCCCUGGGGGCCGGUGGGGGUGGGGUUGGAGGGUGGAUGGUGGGGGUGGGGCCAAGUUAGCCCGAGCGGUCUGUGAGGUGAGAAGGGCCGGGGUCUCUCCUCCUCUCCUCCGCACCCCACCCCGCCUUGCUCUGAAUCUCUCCCUCUCUCUGUCUCUGUUGGUCUCUUUCCCUCUCUACUCCCCAUUCUGGUGUCUUUGGAGCCCUGGGUAAGGUGUGUGCUGAGUCCGGUCUGGUUUGGGGUAGAUGUUCUUUGAUCUGUUACCACACCUGGAGGGAAAGCCCCUGGCCCGCCCCCCCUCCGUUCCUGCAGAGCCAGGCCCCCCAACCAGUCGGUGGGCAGGAUGCCCACCAGUUGCCCCCAUCUGGCCCAGGGGGACCUUUCCUCUGCUCUCCAGGGACCACUGCAGGUGGUGUGGCCCCUGAGGGGAGCAUAAGGGUGCAGUGCCUGACUCAGGGGACACAGAAGCCCCGUCCAUACGGCCUUUUACACAGCACAGCACCCAGCCCUCGGCAGCCCAGAGCAGGAACCAACAGGGUAGGUGCCCAGGGGCCCCAAAGGUCAGAGUUCCUCGCACAGCUGCCAGGGAGCACAGGGACCGCAGCACAGGGUCUUCUGCUCAGCACCGGGACCCCGCUCGCUGCAGCUAAAGAAACAGAUACGUCCAAGGGCUCCACGGCCGGGGCCGGGCACCUGGAACAGGGUGGUCCUGGGGCGGCCACAUCCACUCCUUCCAGCUAACACUUCACAGAGAUGUCUGACUGAUGUCCACUGCUCAGCUGCACCCCUGAGCUGGUGAGCAUUCAGGUAGAGCACCCACCUCUACUUUUCUCACCCCGAAAAUCAGAGACUGGUUCUCAGCUGGUGCAGCCACCGCCCCAGCGUACCGGAUGCAGGACUUUCCCUGCGAACACUGGACAGUCCCAGCAAAGCAGACGGUGGGUCGCUCUGUAUCUCUGAAGAACAGCUGGGCCUGCGUGUGUCAUUCUCAGGCAUCUGGCCCAGGGCUUCUCCUCCAGGAAGGUGGCUGCUCAGCUCCGGGCACUGCCAGGGGCCACGGACCCCGCCUCCUUUCCAGGCUGUUCCACAGCAUCUGCCUUCAUACUCACAGCCACCGCGGCGUGCGUCCCAGGGAUUCUCAGAAUAGAAUUCUGUGCCUCUCUCGCCUCUGGAAGUGACCGCGCUCUGUAGGAAAAUAUCACAGCACGCCGGCCUCGAAAGGCCACGACGUGGCUCUAAACUGCUCUAAGUAUGUCAGUUACUUAGAACAAUCAGAAAGGGGCAGAACAAGCUGGGGUGUGGAGUCAGGGGUCAGGGCACAGACAGCACCUCUUGUCUUGCAGAGAGAAUGCUAGCAAUUUGCAAGUUACUUGAAAAGGUUUGUGAUUUUCCAACGCCCUGAGUAAUUCUAGCCAAAAUGCGUGACUCGCCUCACACUAGAUGCUUGCUGUAAUUGUGUCUCUGUAUUAAACUGACCGUUCUUUGGAGCUUCAGAAUGGACCAGGAGGAAAAGGUAAAUACCAACCUCGCUACAACCUCAGAGGCAUCAACGCCCUCCUGCUACAGACGCAUCUGUUCUCGCCUGGCUCCUGCCGGCUGCCCUGGGAGAGGCCACAAAAUGCCCUCCACGGAGACAAGGCCUGAGAACCUUCGGGACGCCCGCUGCCGCUCACUGUGUUGAAGAACUGCCCGUUCCGCACCCCGGGCCCUAGACACACGGCUCUGUGGAGGACGAGGAAGUGCCGUCAGGUGAGACUUCACCGUGAAAUAUCUUCUGAGACACAACAAUCUCCCUGAAUUAAAACUACAGACUCUAAUUUAUAAAAACUGUGUGUUUCAAAAGCUCCAAGUGUUUACAUUCUCCGAUUCAUCAUUCCUUCUUCUAAUUUAUUUUAGGAAAUAAUGCAAAGUACUCACAAAAAUUUAUAUAGAAAGAUGUUCAUUGCAGAAUUCAUUAUAAUAAAAACCUUUAAAUGCUCUGAGUGCCCAGCGUCAGCAUGGUGAUAACAUACAUACGAGGGAAUAUUGUGCAGCUGCAGUUAGUUCUUAUUACAUUUCACAGGCAUCUUAAAUGCUUUGUGAACACCGGUGCAUAGAUUUUUUUGUUUGGUAUAGAUGGCAAUGAUUAGAUG